Molecule: ribosomal RNA, 120 nt
Organism: Aspergillus cristatus
Lineage: Eukaryota; Fungi; Ascomycota; Eurotiomycetes; Eurotiales; Aspergillaceae
Source: Rfam
ACAUACGACCAUAGGGUGUGGAAAACAGGGCUUCCCGUCCGCUCAGCCGUACUUAAGCCACACGCCGACCAGUUAGUAGUUGGGUGGGUGACCACCAGCGAAUCCCGGCUGUUGUAUGUU